GACGAACGCUGUCGGCGUGCUUAACACAUGCAAGUCGAACGGAAAGGCCCUGCUUUUGUGGGGUGCUCGAGUGGCGAACGGGUGAGUAACACGUGAGUAACCUGCCCUUGACUUUGGGAUAACUUCAGGAAACUGGGGCUAAUACCGGAUAGGAGCUCCUGCUGCAUGGUGGGGGUUGGAGAGUUUCGGCGGUUGGGGAUGGACUCGCGGCUUAUCAGCUUGUUGGUGGGGUAGUGGCUUACCAAGGCUUUGACGGGUAGCCGGCCUGAGAGGGUGACCGGCCACAUUGGGACUGAGAUACGGCCCAGACUCCUACGGGAGGCAGCAGUGGGGAAUAUUGCACAAUGGGCGGAAGCCUGAUGCAGCAACGCCGCGUGCGGGAUGACGGCCUUCGGGUUGUAAACCGCUUUCGCCUGUGACGAAGCGUGAGUGACGGUAAUGGGUAAAGAAGCACCGGCUAACUACGUGCCAGCAGCCGCGGUGAUACGUAGGGUGCGAGCGUUGUCCGGAUUUAUUGGGCGUAAAGGGCUCGUAGGUGGUUGAUCGCGUCGGAAGUGUAAUCUUGGGGCUUAACCCUGAGCGUGCUUUCGAUACGGGUUGACUUGAGGAAGGUAGGGGAGAAUGGAAUUCCUGGUGGAGCGGUGGAAUGCGCAGAUAUCAGGAGGAACACCAGUGGCGAAGGCGGUUCUCUGGGCCUUUCCUGACGCUGAGGAGCGAAAGCGUGGGGAGCGAACAGGCUUAGAUACCCUGGUAGUCCACGCUGUAAACGGUGGGUACUAGGUGUGGGGUCCAUUCCACGGGUUCCGUGCCGUAGCUAACGCUUUAAGUACCCCGCCUGGGGAGUACAGCCGCAAGGCUAAAACUCAAAGGAAUUGACGGGGCCCCGCACAAGCGGCGGAGCAUGCGGAUUAAUUCGAUGCAACGCGUAGAACCUUACCUGGGUUUGACAUGGAUCGGGAGUGCUCAGAGAUGGGUGUGCCUCUUUUGGGGUCGGUUCACAGGUGGUGCAUGGCUGUCGUCAGCUCGUGUCGUGAGAUGUUGGGUUAAGUCCCGCAACGAGCGCAACCCUUGUUCACUGUUGCCAGCACGUUAUGGUGGGGACUCAGUGGAGACCGCCGGGGUCAACUCGGAGGAAGGUGGGGAUGACGUCAAGUCAUCAUGCCCCUUAUGUCCAGGGCUUCACGCAUGCUACAAUGGCUGGUACAGAGAGUGGCGAGCCUGUGAGGGUGAGCGAAUCUCGGAAAGCCGGUCUCAGUUCGGAUUGGGGUCUGCAACUCGACCUCAUGAAGUCGGAGUCGCUAGUAAUCGCAGAUCAGCAACGCUGCGGUGAAUACGUUCCCGGG
This 1343-nucleotide ribosomal RNA is filed under the name uncultured bacterium. RNAcentral's name for it is "16S ribosomal RNA". It matches the Rfam family "Bacterial small subunit ribosomal RNA", at positions 28 to 1378 of the family's 1533-position model. The record is from RNAcentral.